UUUCCGUAGGUGAACCUGCGGAAGGAUCAUUAUCGAGUUUUGACUGGGUUGUAGCUGGCCUUCCGAGGCAUGUGCACGCCCUGCUCAUCCACUCUACACCUGUGCACUACCGCGUGGGUCCCCCUUUGGCUUGUUCGGAGGGGGGCUUACGUUUUCACACAAACUUUGUAUGCAGUGUAGAAUGUAUUUUUUGUUUUUGCGAUCACGCAAUCAAUACAACUUUCAACAACGGAUCUCUUGGCUCUC
This 246-nucleotide unclassified non-coding RNA is filed under the name plant metagenome. RNAcentral's name for it is "partial contains small subunit ribosomal RNA, internal transcribed spacer 1, and 5.8S ribosomal RNA". The record is from RNAcentral.